AACAACCCCACACAUAAUACAACAGUGUUUAAUUAGUAAAACAGCUUGUCAGAACACACAUUUGGGAAGUAAUUGUACAUUACAGGCUUAACAGUAAACUUCUUCAGUGUACAUCAUUAGUAUGGGAAUGGGUGCCAAAUAAGGGCACAAGCAGUCAUUUUCCCCCCCAACAUGGGUCAUCGAAGGUUGCAUUAAUUUCAUGGCACAGUUCCACACAUUACAUCAGCUCUUCAUCCAUGAGACGUUCACUCUGCCAGACAAGAUUGAUUCCCUGUGCAGAGGGUUAGGUACAAACAAUAUCAGAGCGAACUCCAUCACCUCAUUGGUAAACAGCAAACGUUUUCUUGUCUCGAGCUGUUGUACAGACCAUAUUUAACCAAACAUCAUAUGAGAGCCCAUAGUGUUUAUCACAAGGUUUCUCUCGCCGUGUACACAUAAUGUAAGGCUGCAGGCAGUGUAGCACCAGAGUUUAUAAGGAAAUGAAAGACGAGGAAAGCAAAGUUGCAUUGGCAAAGUACUGAUUAGAUUUACGCCUGAGGGGGCCGCCGUUAGAUAUUGUUAUAUUGACAUAGGGUGGAGCUAAUAAACAAUGGGUCAAUUUUUAAGUAAAGAAAUUCUUAAGACGGGUUUGUGGUAAUGUAGAAAGUUUUUUACGAUCAGAAAAGGAAUCACUGAAAGGGCUUGUUUUCAUCCCCUCCAACUUUAAACCAUCACACUCAGUCUAUGUUUGUAUCUGCUGCAAACAGAAGCAGGAAGAGAAACAGCACUGGUCGAGUUCUGGUAAUACUGGAAAUGCUCCAGAAACAAUUAGAAGUUCAACAAGAGCAAUUUGAUAAUCAUUCACCUCGUAUAAUGUCUUAAUAAAAAUAACAUUUAGAAAAAAAAAAAAAAAAAAAAAAAAAAAAAAAAGCAGCACAAAAAGUUAAUAUAAGUAAGAAUCUUUGGAUUGUUGAGUGUUAGCCACAAAAAAUAAAAAUGAAAUAAAAAUAAAAAAAAAAACUUACAUAUUCACAUUUAUCAUUCUCUGUUGGUGUAAAAAACAAAAGAUUUAGUUUCAAGUAAUACAAGAAUAAAUACAGGAAAUAAUAGUCAGCACUAGUUACCUCCACCACAGACAUAACGCUUUUGUUGUAGUUUCUUAUAUUAGCAGGAUUACACAAAAAGAAAAAAUAUAAAGGCAGAUUUUUCUGACACUUGGAGAGGUAGAAAACGAGCAAAGGAAGAAUUUAUUACAUUUUGUUGGAGAUCAGGAUUAAGCGGUGGAGCUUCCCCUUUAAAACAGCCAAUAGAAAAUUAGCUUAGUCACCCGUCACUUGUUAAACUAAGCUGAGCUGUCUACACUGGCAGCCUAUCACAUGUUGUUUCACAGCUGUAUUAUAUUUAUUGUGCUAAUAAAUAUACUUUGUACAACAUGAUGUGUACAUGAAGUUACAUUUUUGUAAAGCUGCAUGUUAAGGCUAUGGUUACUACUAAGGUUAUUUGUUACUAUGUAGAUUAAAUUUAGCAGUGUAACAAUUUAAUUGUCAUACAAGUAUGCAUGUUAAUCAAAGCUAUGUACUUAACCGAUUGUGCAUUGAAUUGCAUUUUUGGAAUGACUGAACAACUCUUAAUCGAGAAGGCCUACAUGUAUAAUUGGCACAUAUAUUUUAUAUAUAUGUAUAUAUUCUUUAAAUAUAUAUAUUUUGAAUACAUUGAAAAAUCUGUAUGCACAGAUAAUUUUUUUUAAUUAAAAAAACAAAAAUUACCCUAGCUUUACAUCGCAGAGCGAAGAACAAAAAAAACAAAAACCCAAACAAGCAAAACAAAAACAAAAACAACCCACACUUGGUCAAACACAUAUUCCUGUGCAUAAACUAUGUAGAGACAAGUUGAGCUUCAGAUUUAAUUUGACAGUCUUGAGC
Long non-coding RNA from Oreochromis aureus, 1901 nucleotides. NCBI's taxonomy places the organism in Eukaryota, Metazoa, Chordata, Actinopteri, Cichliformes, Cichlidae. The record is from Ensembl.